RNAcentral lists this ribosomal RNA (254 nucleotides) under uncultured bacterium. RNAcentral describes it as "partial 16S ribosomal RNA". It matches the Rfam family "Bacterial small subunit ribosomal RNA", at positions 524 to 776 of the family's 1533-position model. The record is from RNAcentral.
UACGGGGGGAGCAAGCGUUGUUCGGAUUUACUGGGCGUAAAGGGCGCGUAGGCGGCCACCGCAAGUCGGUUGCGAAAUCUCCGGGCUUAACCCGGAAAGGUCAAUCGAUACUGCGGGGCUAGAGUGCAGAAGGGGCAACUGGAAUUCUCGGUGUAGCGGUGAAAUGCGUAGAUAUCGAGAGGAACACCUACGGCGAAGGCGGGUUGCUGGGCUGACACUGACGCUGAAGCGCGAAAGCUAGGGGAGCGAACGGG